ACACCAAUGAGUGCCACAUGUCAU
Molecule: non-coding RNA, 24 nt
Filed under: Arabidopsis thaliana (thale cress)
Lineage: Eukaryota; Viridiplantae; Streptophyta; Magnoliopsida; Brassicales; Brassicaceae
Source: RNAcentral